CUACGAAGAACAGCAAUGUUCCUUCCGCAGAGUACACUUGCAGAAGCCUUAGUGGCCCGAAAGGGUUUCAUCAGCGACUCUAAACAAGUAGGUGGAUUAAACGCUAGUCUCUCUGGAAGAGGCGACACUAUCAAAUUGCGGGAAGAUCCUGUCAGGUCCACAUCACCGCGGCUCACCGAAAGGUGUAGUGCAGCACCAGGCUAACAACCUUGGGUAUGGUAAUAGUAUGUGGAAUAGGGAGAAUCUGCAGCCAAGCCCCUCUCUUGGGGUGCAGUUCACAGGCCAAAUGGUAGUGGGCACUCUGGUGCUUAAGAUAUGGUCGAGUCCCAAUUGAAAAAUUGGGUACAAGUACUCUGAUUGAUUACAUACAGUCUAUGCUCAGUCGAAUACAGCUAGUUGUAAAUGCAAAUGUUCCGUAGGUGAACCUGC
This 429-nucleotide ribosomal RNA is filed under the name uncultured Sebacinales. Its description in RNAcentral is "partial 18S ribosomal RNA". The stretch from base 58 to 343 matches the Rfam family "Group I catalytic intron". Rfam says of the family: Group I catalytic introns are large self-splicing ribozymes. They catalyse their own excision from mRNA, tRNA and rRNA precursors in a wide range of organisms. The core secondary structure consists of 9 paired regions (P1-P9). Lineage: Eukaryota; Fungi; Basidiomycota; Agaricomycetes; Sebacinales. The record is from RNAcentral.